GAAUUUUUUACUCUGUCAUUUUCUUGUUCUUUUUCCUCUGAGGCUUUGGCUCUUGACUUCUCUUGGUCUGUUGCUUUUGCUGCUGAGAAAUCAUUGCUGGUUCUCAACAACUCUAGAGAAAGCUCAGAGAGAUAGAGGAAAAUGGGCUGGAAGGAACCUCAGUAAGUCACCCACACUGUUAGUACUCCAAGGUCAACUGCAUGGAAGCCUUCCUUAACGACCAGCUUGUGUCUAAGAUCCUCCACUGAUGAUCAUACGCACACCAUAUUUGUUGGUUUGAGCAAACACCCGCUCUAGGAAGAAGAGGCUGGGAACAGAAGGAUGAAGGACAAGACUCUGGCCCCUUUGAAGUCUGUUGGAAUGCUGCCAUUGACUUCAGCAGGGCCAGGAUUUUAGCUGGAGAUUUCCUUCAAAACCAGCAUUUGUGUCACAUCUUUAACAUGAAUGUUACAGAGAAGAAUCGAAAGGAGGGAGAUGCCAUUCUCUCGGCAGCGUUCCUUUCUCAAGAAAACAACUGCUAUGCCAAGACAUAGCUAUGACAGGAGAGAAAUUCCUGUUUAUCCAAGGUUGUUAUCAAGGGAUGCCCCUGACCCCAGAGCUGACUGAAGUACAGAUCAGAAAUGAAAUUUAGCAGAGCGGGCUGGUGGUGGGGCCACCAAGAGCUAUUUUAGAGGCUGGCACAAGUGCAGUAUUGCAGUUCUCUCCCACCCUGACAGCCUCCAACCAACGCCACACACCACUCCUGACCCAUACUUCCAUGGCACUCCUGACCCUCUAGCUGUGGCAGUCACAGGAGGAGGGAAUAUCUAUAGGUCCCAGGAACCAGUGCAGUUAAUCAGCAUCUUCUUGAUGGCCCUUACCAUGAAGCCACAGAUCUUUCCUACACAUCAGUGGCUAUUGUCUUGGACAUAGCCACUGAAUGACACGAACCACUUCAAGGGAUUUUAACUGUUGAGUACCCAACACAGCAAGCCAGAAAGCAACUGUGAUUUUCCAUCAGAGACUUUAGUCAUCCUCCUACGACUAGAAGACUUUGAGUUUGCUUCAAAACCUCCAUCCCAUCUUCAGCUUCACUCUGAUGCACUCCUUUCAUCAGCAAGCUUUUGAAUGUUUCCGCAAAGCAAAGCCACAAGGCAGUGAACCAAACCAGUCACAUGUGUUAACCAAGCAGUGGCAAGUGCCAUUAGAGAAUGCGUAGGUGUUAAGCAACAAAUAGCACUAAAUCCACAAAUAGCUUUUAUCCUGUUUGCUGUAUCUCAUACACACAAAGAAGUGGCUGCUUAUUUGUUGCCUGGCUUAGCUUCUGCUUGAUUUUGUCUUUAUGAAGGAUUAAAAACAAGUUCUCAGCUUUGGCUCACGGAAAAAAAUAGUUGUCAUCUUCAUUAAUUACCAUUCACAGCCUGCUUCACCUUUGAUCAAAGCCACAAGAUUCAGAAAAUUCACUACAACACACCUUCUGAUGACAUUAAGUUUCAGAUUAACAAUCUGAUGCAAAAAAAAAAAAGGUACCUCAGAUUAAAUGACACUCUCAAGUUGUAUAACACAUUGGAUCUGGUAUUUUCACGUUCAUGAGAUAUUAAACCCAAACAUUUUUGUCAUAUUUGAUCAUUAAACUACUUUCUAAUCAGUAUGGUUCAAUUGUAUUA
Cuculus canorus (common cuckoo) is the source of this 1646-nucleotide long non-coding RNA. RefSeq lists it as uncharacterized. The record is from RefSeq and is a predicted model, not a curated record. NCBI's taxonomy places the organism in Eukaryota, Metazoa, Chordata, Aves, Cuculiformes, Cuculidae. The transcript has 3 exons.